RNAcentral lists this ribosomal RNA (462 nucleotides) under Oenococcus oeni. Its description in RNAcentral is "bacterial LSU rRNA". It matches the Rfam family "Bacterial large subunit ribosomal RNA", at positions 274 to 736 of the family's 2925-position model. The record is from RNAcentral. Lineage: Bacteria; Bacillati; Bacillota; Bacilli; Lactobacillales; Lactobacillaceae.
CCUGGAUGCUUGCAUCCAGGGGUUGUAGGACUGAUGUUGAGUUACAAAGGUAUAAGAUAGCAGAAACAGUUGGGAAGCUGUUCCAAAGAGGGUGACAGGCCCGUAUGCGAAAUCUUGUACUCUCUAAUCAGGAUCCUGAGUACGGCCCAGCACGUGAAAUUGGGUCGGAAUCUGGGAGGACCAUCUCCCAAGGCUAAAUACUAACUAGUGACCGAUAGCGAACAAGUACCGUGAGGGAAAGGUGAAAAGAACCCCGGAAGGGGAGUGAAAUAGUUCUUGAAACCGUGUGCUUACAAGAAGUUCGAGGCCGUUAAUGGCUGAGAGCGUGCUUUUUGUAGAAUGAACCGGAGAGUUACGAUUGCGUGCAAGGUUAAGGUGCAAAGACUGGAGCCGUAGCGAAAGCGAGUCUUAAUAGGGCGAAUCAGUACGUAGUUGUAGACCCGAAACCGAGUGACCUAUCCA